This 494-nucleotide ribosomal RNA is filed under the name uncultured Ascomycota. RNAcentral's name for it is "eukaryotic LSU rRNA". The stretch from base 164 to 317 matches the Rfam family "5.8S ribosomal RNA". The record is from RNAcentral. Lineage: Eukaryota; Fungi; Ascomycota.
CAUUACAGAGUUCAUGCCCUUACGGGUAGAUCUCCCACCCUUGUGUAUUAUACCUUUGUUGCUUUGGCAGGCCGCUUCGGCUACCGGCUUCGGCUGGUGAGUGCCUGCCAGAGAACCCAAAAUUCUGAAUGUUAGUGUCGUCUGAGUACUAUAUAAUAGUUAAAACUUUCAACAACGGAUCUCUUGGUUCUGGCAUCGAUGAAGAACGCAGCGAAAUGCGAUAAGUAAUGUGAAUUGCAGAAUUCAGUGAAUCAUCGAAUCUUUGAACGCACAUUGCGCCCCUUGGUAUUCCGAGGGGCAUGCCUGUUCGAGCGUCAUUAUAACCACUCAAGCCUCGGCUUGGUCUUGGGGUCCCGCGGUCUCGCGGCCCUUAAAAUCAGUGGCGGUGCCAUCUGGCUCUAAGCGUAGUAAUUCUCUCGCUAUAGGGACCCGGCGGACGCUGGCCAUCAACCCCCAACUUUCUAAGUUUGACCUCGGAUCAGGUAGGGAUACCC